GAUGAACGCUGGCGGCGUGCCUAAUACAUGCAAGUCGAGCGAACGGACGAGAAGCUUGCUUUUCUGAUGUUGGCGGCGGACGGGUGAGUAACACGUGGAUAACCUACCUAUAAGACUGGGAUAACUUCGGGAAACCGGAGCUAAUACCGGAUAAUAUUUUGAACCGCAUGGUUCAAAAGUGAAAGACGGUCUUGCUGUCACUUAUAGAUGGAUCCGCGCUGCAUUAGCUAGUUGGUAAGGUAACGGCUUACCAAGGCAACGAUGCAUAGCCGACCUGAGAGGGUGAUCGGCCACACUGGAACUGUGACACGGUCCAGACUCCUACGGGAGGCAGCAGUAGGGAAUCUUCCGCAAUGGGCGAAAGCCUGACGGAGCAACGCCGCGUGAGUGAUGAAGGUCUUCGGAUCGGAAAACUCUGUUAUUAGGGAAGAACAUAUGUGUAAGUAACUGUGCACAUCUUGACGGUACCUAAUCAGAAAGCCACGGCUAACUACGUG
Molecule: ribosomal RNA, 497 nt
Filed under: uncultured bacterium
Lineage: Bacteria
Description: partial 16S ribosomal RNA
Rfam family: Bacterial small subunit ribosomal RNA
Source: RNAcentral